UUGUUUCCAAUAAUAUACAAUCGAACAGUCUUUGAAAGAACACAAAUCUACACAUACAGACAACUAAAUCCUUUUCCGUUUCUUAAUCGGCCAGAUCCAAGAUCUAUUAGUUUCUAUAUUCUAUCAGUUUUUUCUUCCUAUUGAAGCAGCUGAUUGGGUACAAUAUCUCUGACGACGAUUCUGAUCCUGUCAAUCGGGCAAGAAGCAACAUAUUGAGGUAAAACAGUUCAUGACUUCUAUUAAUUUUGUAUAUGUCAUCCUUUAUGUGAAAGUAGGUAUAGAAUUUGACUCCAAUCAAGCGGUGCCGAUUUGGUGUACUAUUAUUGUUGACUAUAAAACCUUAAUCGAGUUUGGGUAUUUUGAUAAAUCCUUUCUGAGUAGUAAAAAAAGUGUUUCAGGUUUACGGAAUCAAUCAUUCACUUUAAUGAUUGUUUGUGAGUGUGAUGUUUUUUUCAUUCUCGAAGUCGUGCUAUUUAUAGUAGUUAGUUUAGUGUAUAAGGUAGUUGUGAUAUAAUAUGAAGAAUCGAUUCCAAAUUCGAAUAAUUCCCUUGAUUCCGGGUAUCAUCGUAAUCAUAGGUGAUUUUUUCCUUAACUGAUUUCUAUCAGUUAGCGUAUAAGAUCUAAUUACGAUGACUCAAUAUUAAUGGAGUCGUUUCUGACGCAGGGAUUCUUUAAUGGGAUUAUAUCGAUUCUUAUUUGAAUCUUGAUUUUCUCCGAAAUUUUUGCAUUGGUGAUUCUGUCAAUCAUAAAUCGGGCAUAGCAAGAUAUGCGGAAAGAGAUAUGCAGAGAUAUUCAAUGGAGGAUAUUUCGUUUUGAUGAAGAACAGUUGGACGUAAUGGAGGACACGUAUAGUUGGGCUUAAUGUAAAUGGGCCACUAA
RNAcentral lists this long non-coding RNA (879 nucleotides) under Capsella grandiflora. RNAcentral describes it as "long non-coding RNA (CGRA_LNC000045)". The record is from RNAcentral. Lineage: Eukaryota; Viridiplantae; Streptophyta; Magnoliopsida; Brassicales; Brassicaceae.